CACAGUCAAAGCAGAAACAGACCUUCUGGAAAACACUGCAUCAUGUAAUUUGAUAGGGAUCUGACCGAAGGACUUCAAUACGGGUUUUUUUUGUUUUUAUUCUUGUGGACCCUUGCCAACAUGGCUGCUGCUGACUGAGGUAUAGAUAGGUCAUCCUGGGACACCUGGUGAGACUGGACUACCUGGACCACCAGGAAGAACAGGCCCCCCUGGAGCGGCUGGACCAACCGGUACCAGAGGACCCAAAGGCUUACGGGGAGCACGAGGGCCUGAUGGUCCAACAGGAGAGAAUGGCAUUAAAGGAAAGAAGGGACUCGACGGCCCUCCUGGAAAACUUGGUUUUCCUGGUCCACAGGUAAAGUUUCAGGGUGUUUUUCUACUUUCCACUCCUAUCUCACAUUAAUUAUGUGGUGCUUAUGUUACCCUGGAGGGGAGAGGCAUCAAUGUGAUUUAAAAGACCU
RNAcentral lists this long non-coding RNA (461 nucleotides) under Gouania willdenowi (blunt-snouted clingfish). Its description in RNAcentral is "lncRNA (ENSGWIG00000001970.1)". The record is from RNAcentral. Lineage: Eukaryota; Metazoa; Chordata; Actinopteri; Blenniiformes; Gobiesocidae.